RNAcentral lists this long non-coding RNA (1082 nucleotides) under Bemisia tabaci. Its description in RNAcentral is "lncRNA ENSSWEETPG005935". The record is from RNAcentral. Lineage: Eukaryota; Metazoa; Arthropoda; Insecta; Hemiptera; Aleyrodidae.
UUCUUAAAGUUGGUGCAGUAAAGACUUUUAUCAGUAUUAACAGACAUGUUGCUCUAGAAGAAACUGGAAAUCGGUGUUGGCACACACAUGUUCUCAAGAACUCCCCAUGCAUGAGCUUUUUAUGGAAGUAAAUUCUACUUUCUAAAUUUUGGUGCUCUCUCACUGCAAUUUUCUACUGACAUGAGGCUAAAAUGAUGUACUUAGUAUGAAGAAGUAAAAAGCAAUGAAAAAUUGAGCGCCAUGAAAGAACAGACCGUGCAAAUUCGACUGUCAUGAAACUAAUGGCUGUCAUGAAUGGAGACAAUUGAGUCAUCUUCGGUAAAAGGGUGUAUGAGGCUUGCAAUGCUGCUAAGAUGUGCAAUUUUUUAGUGUUUGGGCUGAUGAGAGCAGAUUCAGGAGAAAACCACAGCAGAACUGAUGGAUAAGCUACUUACAACUAGGGAACUACGUUGCACAAUCUUAGCAGCAUUGGAAGUCUUAAUACGCCCUUCGGAUGGAUGCGGAUAGAUGCUUCAAUUGUUUGUAAGUCAGGUUUUUAAGUACAUAAAUUGAUCAUGUAUUUUUUGUUUUUUUCAGAUGGUGAAGCAAGGUCUUCUGUUGAUUGAUGACUCCUAAACCAAAGAUUUUGAUAAGUUCCUGUGCCUGUCUGAUAAGUUCGAUGUUACUGUCAUCAGUAAAUCUGGUCUGAAACUAGAAGAUGUUGAUGAAGACAUGCUGAAAGCCACAGAAUUUUUUAGUCAAGUUGUUCUUCAUGUUGCCACCAAUAAUAUUCCAGUUGAUUCUGCUGAUGUCAUUAAGGAAAAGUCACAAAAUCUUGUCAACCAAAUUCUAAGGAAGAACUCAUCAAUUCAGAUUUAUAUUUCCGGCAUCUUACCCAGAGGACAGAACUGUUUCAUCAAAAACGAUGAUUCUAUUGGUGUCAAAGCAAUUAACUUGCUAGUCGUUAAGUCUGUCAAUGAGACUUCGCAAAAACUGCAUACAAUGUAAGUAGAAUGUAUUAAUGUUGGUCCUUUUUAUUGAUGGUCAGUUGUUCUGCUAACUCUAAAAAUUGAUUUUCUGGCAAUUAAAGAAGCAGGUACAUU